This 541-nucleotide small RNA is filed under the name Histoplasma capsulatum. Its description in RNAcentral is "hypothetical RNA". The record is from RNAcentral. RNAcentral also lists the same sequence under 1 other name. Lineage: Eukaryota; Fungi; Ascomycota; Eurotiomycetes; Onygenales; Ajellomycetaceae.
UACAAAUGGCCAGCAAGAUUUAACUAUGCCAAAUAGCAAAUGUAUUGACUAGAGCUCUUUUUGGCUUCGUUUCGCUUACUGUGUGCAAUUAUUGAGCUUCUCAUAUAUUCCGUUCCAAUUUAUUUGAAUGGGCGGAUUAAACUUAUGGUGCAAAUAACAUCUUAUCCCCUUCCUUGAGAACUGACGUAUUGCAGCAUUCUGAUAGCAGUUAAGCUACUGUAAUUAUCGAAAAAGCAAAAGAUGGUUGGAUAUGCCCAAUAUUAGCACAGGAUUCCCAGAUAGCAGAUGCAAGAAUUUUUUCUCCAGUUGCUUCAAGCUCAUCAUCGAACUCAAGAUCGUUGCAUUCUGACACAGGAAGAAUAGUUUCGGAUACCUUUAUAAUCGUUCCGCCUCAACUGGAAUCAUUUUCCCGGAUACCUUCGAAUCGCUAAGCAUCAUCUAUCUCAUUUACCUGGGCGCGACACCUCCCACUGGAAAUCAAAACCCUUCUGAUGUGGCUGAUCACAUAGCUGAUUUCUUCAUCAAAAAUCUCUUCAGACAG